RNAcentral lists this ribosomal RNA (497 nucleotides) under uncultured bacterium. RNAcentral describes it as "partial 16S ribosomal RNA". It matches the Rfam family "Bacterial small subunit ribosomal RNA", at positions 28 to 507 of the family's 1533-position model. The record is from RNAcentral.
GAUGAACGCUGGCGGCGUGCCUAAUACAUGCAAGUCGAGCGAACAGACGAGGAGCUUGCUCCUCUGACGUUAGCGGCGGACGGGUGAGUAACACGUGGAUAACCUACCUAUAAGACUGGGAUAACUUCGGGAAACCGGAGCUAAUACCGGAUAAUAUAUUGAACCGCAUGGUUCAAUAGUGAAAGACGGUUUUGCUGUCACUUAUAGAUGGAUCCGCGCCGCAUUAGCUAGUUGGUAAGGUAACGGCUUACCAAGGCAACGAUGCGUAGCCGACCUGAGAGGGUGAUCGGCCACACUGGAACUGAGACACGGUCCAGACGCCUACGGGAGGCAGCAGUAGGGAAUCUUCCGCAAUGGGCGAAAGCCUGACGGAGCAACGCCGCGUGAGUGAUGAAGGUCUUCGGAGCGUAAAGCUCUGUUAUUAGGGAAGAACAAAUGUGUAAGUAACUAUGCACGUCUUGACGGUACCUAAUCAGAAAGCCACGGCUAACUACGUG